This is a long non-coding RNA of Oryza sativa Japonica Group (Japanese rice), 596 nucleotides long. RefSeq lists it as uncharacterized. The record is from RefSeq and is a predicted model, not a curated record. Lineage: Eukaryota; Viridiplantae; Streptophyta; Magnoliopsida; Poales; Poaceae.
UCCAAGUUUCAGACUAUACAUAUUAACCCACCUCAUCAGCGCGCGCGGCUGAUAGCUAGCCAGCCGGGUCAUCACAGGAUUCUUCGACGAUGGCGGCAGCGGUGACGGCGCUCCGGCGUGUGGUGCUUCUCCUCCUCCUCACGUUGUUCGUCAUGGCGGCGUUGCAUGAGGCGCCCACGAUGGCUUCCGCCACGAGGGUUUUGCUACAACUACGGUUUAACGGACCUCCACCUCCAGAGGUUCCGCCCUGCGAUGGUUGCCCAUAGAGGGUGCAAAUUGGCCGACCCAGGAAACCAUUUAUAUAUGGGUCAAUUAAUUAGGUACAUAUUGAGACCGACAUGCAUGGGCGGGAAGUAGCACCCUUAUAUACACAUUUAUCUGCACACUAUCAAACUAUAUUGCUUAGGUCCAUAAUGAUACUUAAAUUAUAUCAUGGUUCGGUCUUGUAAUAAUCUUUUAGAUUUCUAAUAGUUUCUUCCCCAUGGAUUAUAAGGAUGGAUCGUAUUGUGGGAAUGAUACUGUUAUUAGUUUAACUUAUAAUUGCCUGUCGUGGAUGUCCGUAUUUACAGGGGAGACUCUGCCGAAAUUUCUAAUAA